RNAcentral lists this ribosomal RNA (486 nucleotides) under uncultured bacterium. Its description in RNAcentral is "partial 16S ribosomal RNA". It matches the Rfam family "Bacterial small subunit ribosomal RNA", at positions 30 to 507 of the family's 1533-position model. The record is from RNAcentral.
AUUGAACGCUGGCGGCAUGCCUUACACAUGCAAGUCGAACGGCAGCACGGGUGCUUGCACCUGGUGGCGAGCGGCGAACGGGUGAGUAAUACAUCGGAACAUGUCCUGUAGUGGGGGAUAGCCCGGCGAAAGCCGGAUUAAUACCGCAUACGAUCUACGGAUGAAAGCGGGGGACCUUCGGGCCUCGCGCUAUAGGGUUGGCCGAUGGCUGGUUAGGUAGUUGGUGGGGUAAAGGCCUACCAAGGCGACGAUCAGUAGCUGGUCUGAGAGGACGACCAGCCACACUGGGACUGAGACACGGCCCAGACUCCUACGGGAGGCAGCAGUGGGGAAUUUUGGACAAUGGGCGAAAGCCUGAUCCAGCAAUGCCGCGUGUGUGAAGAAGGCCUUCGGGUUGUAAAGCACUUUUGUCCGGAAAGAAAUCCUUGGCCCUAAUACGGUCGGGGGAUGACGGUACCGGAAGAAUAAGCACCGGCUAACUACGUG